AACUAAGAUGCGUCAAAAUUAACCAUAUGACGUCUCGUUGCCAAAUUGUAUUGCAAUGGGUGUUGGAUUUUUUUGAAUACAGAUUAGCAGUUUACAGAUUAAUGAAGACAUUUCCAGUGUUGCAAAUUACAAUUCAUUCCUUUUGGUGAGUAAAAUAUGGUACAUGGAUUUUUCAUCAGUCUCGGCAUUGGGGCUUUUAAGUUUUGCAACUCUUUUUUCUCAAGAGGUAAGCAGAUUAAUUAAUUCAUCCGAAUCGAAGGUUAAAGUGAUCUUUUUUUAUUACCUAUUUUUCGUCUUUUGUCCGUCUAUUAUACUAUCUGUCAGUUAACUUUACACUUUGACUUAUUUCCUGGAACCACUGAGCCAAAUUUAACCAAACAUGACGUCACGUUUCCAAAUGUUUUGCAAUGGGUGUUCAAUGUAUUCUUUUAAGAGGAUACUUAAUCGGUAAAAAAAGACCAAACAUUUUUUAAAAGGGAAACCAUCGCAAAAUUGUCAAAAUAGAAUACGUCUCCUAAAAAUUCUUCUCACAAACUACGAUGCUACAAUUGGUGAUAUUGUUUAACGACGUUACGACUGAAGUCGAGCGCAGCAUUAAUUUGAAUUAAAUACGCACAGGAACGUACGAUUCAUAAUGACGAAUAAAGGCGUGAUUUACCGAACGGAUGCAUUAUCGUGAUAAAAAAAGAAUAAAAAUAGAAUAUUAAACGCACCAGUAUACAUGUAUAAACAUUAAUGUUUAACAGUGUUGCCGUUUGGAGGGCCCUUCCUGUUUUACAGUGUGGCUGUUUGGAGGGCAAAGCCAAUACAAUUAUCAUAAUUUUACUUUCAGAUUCAUUGGAUAAGUGCACAGUUGGGUUUGCCUAUCUAUUUAUUCAUUACGCGGUAAUAAUUGCGUGCUCAGUCCAGACAUUAUGACGUAAUGUUUAAGAGCAAAGAUCACUAGACAAGUUCCGUCAAAGUAGCAGUGCUUCGACCAAGAAAACAGAGUAAAAUAAUUAGUGAAAUUAUUGUUUGAAUUACCAGAAUGUUUUAUUAUUCAUUUUACUUAUAAGACAUGUUUACCUGUUCGCGCGAGAAAAUAGCCAGAAACAAUCUACACGGAAUAGGGAGUUAUAAAGAAAAAUAUAACACGCGUUGUUAAAAAUCUUUUGUGUAGAUAUAAUUUAUUUAUUGGAUUGGCUAUUAAUAACGCAAAUAAAUACAUGUCGACUUAAAUCAUCGGUAGUGAGACACUUUUUUCUUUUGAAAUGAUGGUGAUUGUAAUGGUAUUAAUUAAUUCCAACCCUCACAAUAUACCGUAUACCUGCUUUGAAAUGAAAGUGCAUUUUUUUGCCAAUUCUUUUCUUCUUCAAUUGCAUGCUUAUAAUGACAUUAAGUGAUUGUUCUCAUGCAAACAACUAUGAAAAAUGUGAUCAAGGUAAUGUUAUGAAGAUAGGUGAUAAUAAUGGUCAAUAUGAAUAAAUACAUUAAGAUUAGAUGCUUGAUUGGUUCAUUUUCAAGUGGACAUUAGGCAGAAAAUGGAACACGUCCUUCAUGUUUCUAAGCAAGGAAAGAUGACCCCGUCCCAUGGUCAAACAAAGAGUGAAACCGGAAAAAGCCUUAAACUGGGCGGGCAACUAAAAAGACCCUUCAAAAUACAGACAAAUGUUGAAGUUCUGCGAGGACGAGUCAAUAUUAGAAAAAACAUGGUCACCGAAUCAAGUUUCCGAAAUAAAACAAUCGAUUGCAACUGGAUGACAAAAAUAUUACAAUGCAUGAAAUGCAUCCAUUGGAAACUCUUGCUGUGUACACCUAUUACUUUAAUCAAGAAUGUUUGAUUAAUUGUUAAAACAUGGGACUGGUAAACACAAAUUCGUGGGCCUCAACUUUACCAGCUUGUAUCGAGGUAACCACAGGACUGUACUACAAAAACAAUAGACAAAAUCCAGUGUCAUGAAAACAUACAACCAGACAGAAAGCUGUAGUACCGGCAAUACGGGGAUAAUCAUCUGCGGAGAAUAAGUUUGAAGACGCAAAGCUAAAAAAACUAACCAAUUUUGCGUAACAACAGCUGUUAAAAGUUUAUAGACAAAAAUUUAUUUUUAUGUGAAUCCAAAACAAUCCGAACAUGCAUGGUUUUAUUUCAAAGUUUUAAACUGAAAUAAAUUACAUUGUACAUGGGUAAAAACAAAGUAAACAAAAUUUAGCGCUUCUACUUAAACUUCUUAAGAAACAAUAUAAAAGACCAACUACAUUGUAAACAGGUUUAGUUUACAUUCAUAAAUUUAAUUUCAAUUUAUCUAAACGGAAAACAGCCAUCAAAUGUAAUAUAGCACGCCAUUAUGUUAAAAAUGAUAAGGCCUCGAUCAAGUGUUGCUGAAACUUAAUUGCUUAGAUCCUAGUUUAUUUAUCAAACAAAUCCAAAAAGAUCAUAUCAGAUGAAUAUAUUUGUGUCUACCCCAAGAAAACGGAAUACGGUCUUCAAAUAGCGGUAGUAUUAGGUGGGAUUUCAAACAAAAACGAUCAAACUUAAGGAUUCUUUAUUCUUGAUAUAAUACAAAUGCAUUAGUACGAACUGCUAUGACUAUAUUCUAACAUAUAAUGAUAUUUUAAUCGGUAAAACACCUUCAUAUGAUAAUGAAUAUAUAUUAAUAAAUAUGUGUCAUGAAUUAUAAUUUUUUUCUGCAGAUAGCCCUUAUAGAGCUGAUCAAAAAUCGUAAAAGGUCUUCGAUUUAAGUAUCUUUCAGGUCAGUUAAAAAGCAUAACUUUUUAUUCAAACAAUUCCACAUCUCUCUCUAGAGGUAAACUUUAUUAUACUGAUACAUAUGUGUACUUUAUUUCUCGACAAUGAAUGUAUCUUAAUUUUUUGCAAAGUCCAGACUGUUGACUUAAAUUGUGUUGGACAAGAAAAAUGGAAACUUAACGACCCUUUGUCUUGUGAAUGAAGUGAAAAUUUUCUUUUUUUCUCUACUUGUACAUGUACGUGUUCACACAACCCUUAUCGUGGAGAAAUCCAAUCCUUCAUAUAUCUGAUUAAGGAAACUCGAAUAUAAAUUAAAAAUGCAUGUUCAGAUUUGAUCAAAUAAGCCAUGACCAAAAAUGCUAAUGAAUUAACUUUCAUAUUAAACCAACUUCUUCUAAAAUAGCCAUCAUUAAUAAAGAGGAAAUAAUAGUUUUAAUGAUAAACUGGUCUCACUCUAACGUGUUGUCAGCUGUAACAACCACUUCAAAAUGAUGUAAUUCUAGAGGUUGGAAUCCAAAUACAAUUUGAUUUAUUACAAGUUACAAGUUCAUGGCUCACACUUUUUCUCUUUAACAACGAUGCCGAGUGUUACUUUAUGCUGUCAUUUUUCAUCCCCUCUCACAUUUACCAUUAUAUGCAAAAUUAAGUUAUUCAGAUUUAUUAGUUUAUUUCUGUUCUAUCGUUCUUCAUGGCAAUGCGCGUUUAUGUGUAGUUAUGUGUGUAAGUGGGUAAGCGUUACAUGGAGAACUCGCAUAAUUUAAGCUUACAUACACCCUCCUGAACUCUACGAAGUAUGUUUAGCUCAGAAUUGUAAUUUACCAAUGUAUGCAAAAUUAAGUCAUUCAGAUUUAUAAUUUUAUUUCUGCUAUAUACUGUUCAUCUGCGUUUACGUGUAG
Magallana angulata is the source of this 3621-nucleotide long non-coding RNA. RefSeq lists it as uncharacterized. NCBI's taxonomy places the organism in Eukaryota, Metazoa, Mollusca, Bivalvia, Ostreida, Ostreidae. The record is from RefSeq and is a predicted model, not a curated record. The transcript has 3 exons.